ACAGCAGCAGCCGCGGUAAUACGAAGGGGGCUAGCGUUGUUCGGAAUUACUGGGCGUAAAGGGCGCGUAGGCGGCCAUUCAAGUUAGAUGUGAAAGCCCUGGGCUCAACCUAGGAAUUGCAUUUGAUACUGUUUGGCUUAAGUUCGGGAGAGGUGAGUGGAAUUCCCAGUGUAGAGGUGAAAUUCGUAGAUAUUGGGAAGAACACCAGUGGCGAAGGCGGCUCACUGGACCGACACUGACGCUGAGGCGCGAAAGCGUGGGGAGCAAACAGGAUUAGAUACCCCCGUAGUCCCUGUCUCUUAUAC
This 305-nucleotide ribosomal RNA is filed under the name uncultured bacterium. RNAcentral's name for it is "partial 16S ribosomal RNA". It matches the Rfam family "Bacterial small subunit ribosomal RNA", at positions 505 to 807 of the family's 1533-position model. The record is from RNAcentral.